UUCGCCGUCACCGCAACCACCGUUCCCUCAAAUCAAAAUACCAUGUCGGACGAAGAGCACCAUUUCGAAUCCAAGGCCGACGCCGGAGCCUCCAAAACCUACCCUCAACAAGCCGGUACCAUCCGUAAAAACGGUUACAUCGUCAUCAAAAACCGUCCUUGCAAGGUCCGUAUCCACAUUCUAAUUCCUUUUUUAAUUAGGUUUUUACUAAAUUAAUCAUUGAUUUGAUUUCAUGUAUUUGAUUAGAUCCAGUUUUUCUGCUUCACUGUUUUGGUUUCAUAUUUAAUUUAUUUUUUCUAUGUUGAAAUCUAUGUUUUUUUAUUGAUUUAAGUUCAAAAUUAAUCAUGAUUUUGAUUUGAUUUGUUCAAUUUUUGAGUAAAUUAAUCUAUGUUUCUGUUGCUUCACUGUUUUUGUUCAAUUUUUGAUGGAUUUGUGAGUUGAAUUUUCUGUUAUUGAUUUCCUUUUAUCAAUUAAUCAUCCGUUUGAUGGCUAUUUUUCUGAAAAUUAGUGUAUGUUUGGAAUUAGGGUUUUGGUGAAGGGAGUUUAAGAUGGCUAUGUCUAUAUUCUGUUAUAUAUUUGAGAUUUAAACAUUUCAAUCACAAUUAAUUUAUUUUUAGUAUAAUUUUAGAGUUUCUUUAAUUUAUCCUUAAUAUUGAAAAGAAAAAUAAGUCUUCCCCGUUUUCUUAAUAUUAGGUGAGUCUGCUUACUGAAAAUGGGAACACUAAGGAUGACCUCAAGCUUCCUACCGAUGACAGUCUACUCACUCAGGUUUGUACAGAUCUCAUGAUUCCUUGUUUGAAUUUACCAAUAUGGUGUUAUUUUUAUGUCUUUUGUAUCGUGUGUUUGAGUAAUAUGUGUUACUUGAUUGCAGAUUAAGGAUGGAUUUUUAUUUGUGUAACAAUACGGAAUUUAGAUAUGAUGUGAUUUUCUGUUGGGAUUGUGAGAAUUUGGAAUCUUUAAUGUUUCAGUGCUUAUUGCUUAUUCGUUUAACAGUAAGGAACUUAGAUAUGAUGUGAUUGUUUAUAGGAGUGUGAAAAUUUGUAGUUAUAAUGUUUAAGUGCACAAUCCUUUUACAGUAAGGAAUUAUAAUAGAAAAAAAAAAAAUUCUACCUGAAAGUUCAUGAUUUUUUCUAAAAAUAUAUGCCUGUGAAGAGUUUUUAUUUCCUUUCAUUUAACAUGUUUUUUUGUUGUACGACAGGGGAAGAAAAAGGAAGGAAAUGCUGCUAAAUUUGUCACUAGGAAUCAUGCUCUCAAGCAGCUUCAAAUCAGUCUACCCCUUUUCAGGUUCCAUAUGCUCAUAUAUAUAUAUAAACCAACAUUAAUGCUAUAUAUGAUAAUUUUCUUUUUCCCGAAAUGUCAUGAAGCACAUUCUGCUUUAAAGAAAAUUGCAAAAACUGUUCUACACCUGAAUUGGGCGAAAAACAUGGCAAUGAAAGUGAAAUAGCAAAUCAUAAUGAUUUGUGCUGUAAUUGUGAUGGUUACUUUCGUGACAUGAAUCAUUAUCCAUAAACCAAUUUAUGGGGCUUUUGUAGGAAAAGAAGGGUUUCUUUGGGUUAAAUUUCUCUUAGCUUGAUUACAUAUACAUAUUUUUUGUUAUCAUUAUUGAUCUAAUCUGUUAUCAUUUUGAAUAUGCAUAUAUUUAGCGUUACUCUUAAAUAUUUUGAAAAGUUAAUAUGGUUAAAUGUGAAGUUGAUUUUUUGUAAAUUUUAGGAAGCUGUGCAUUUUGAAAGGUGUAACUCCCCGGGAGCCUAAGAAAAAGUUAGGACGUCAGACUUGCUACCAUGUGAAGGAUAUAAGCUUUCUACAUCACGAGCCUUUGCUGGAAAUACAUAGAGCAAUAAGAGUACAUGAAAGAAAAAUUAAGAAAGCAGAGGCAAAGAAAAACAUUGAACGUGCAAAGAGGUUACGUGAUAAAACACCCAAACCCAAGUUAGAUAGGAUUAUUCGACAAAGGUUUGUUUGUUUUGGUUUUUUCCUUUCUAAAUUUCAAUUUAUGUCCUGUAGCCGGCGACAUAUUUCCAAUCUUUUUCUUCUCAUUCUUUGAAUUAUAGGUACCCAAGAUUUGGGGAUGCACUUGGAGAAUUGGAUGGCUGCCUUACAAUGGUACAUCUUUUUGCAGCAUUACCUGCGACUGAGAGCAAAAAAAUUGAUGUGGAGCGUGUCCAUAAAUGUCGAAGGUAUGUACAUGGAAUUAUAAUAACUUUAAAUUGAUUUGUCAUAAAGAAUUUAGGCCUUUGUGCCUAAAUCUUUACUUUGAAAAUAACAACUAGGGGAUUAGAUUUUUAUAUUAAAAUCUUGUCAUUUACAUUAAUUUUCUUUUACCUUAUGCUGUAAUAAUAUUUAUAUUCUUUUGUUUAUUGCAUGCACGUAUUCAUGCUGUAAUAAUUUUUAUAUUUAUCUUCUUUUGUUUAUUGCAUGCCCGUAUUCUAGAUUGGCGCAUGAAUGGCAAGCAUACAUAUCUCGUACUCACAGGUUAAGAAAAACAUUUGUAUCUGUUAAAGGCAUAUACUACCAGGUACUGAUUGUGGCAUUUGUUAUGUUAAUCAAUCAUAAUUGUACAUUUUAUUGAUUUAUUAUGUUGUUUGUGCAGGCUGAAGUCGAGGGUCAGACAAUAACAUGGUUAACUCCUCAUUCACUGCAGCAGGUUGUGUCUGAUGAUGUUGACAUCCCCACCAUGCUUAACUUUCUGCAAUUAUAUGAGGUCAGUUUAGUUUUAUGUUUGUAUUAAGUGUCUUCAUUUUUUGAUAAAUAAUCAAUGUCCAUAUCAUCCGAAGUAAUAGGAUAAUAGAUCUAAAUAUUUUAAUCAUGUAAACAUUUAAUUUGAAUAUGUUCUGCUGUGUUACGAUUAUCAUGUGGUUCAUGUAUAAAACAAAUUUAGUUAGUCAACUUAAGUUCAUGUACUAAUUGGUAUGGUAAACUUCUACUUUCUAAUGAAUUGCUGCAGCCUCUUCUUGCUCGAUCCUCGCUUGGAGGCGUUGGCAGCAGGUACCAUUUUCUCAACUUUUAUGGAAUUUGGUGAACUUGAAUUGCUGCAGAGAUUUGAUGUAUCUGCCGAUCAAUUUUCUUUUUAAACUUUGUAGAUCUAUAUGCAUUGUCAAGAUAUGCCAAUGCCGACAACAGACCCGCAAUACUGAGUUCUGAAGCUUCUCAAUUAGUUGAAUCUGAACAAGGGGGGAACAAGAAAACUGAGGCAGAGACUGAAAAUGAAAAAUCUGAACUUAGACUUGCUCAACUUCAGAAUCAACUUCCGUCUAAUGAACCCGGUGCACUAAUGCACCUUGUUGAGAAAGCUGCAGGUGAUGAUGAAGAGGAAUAUGAUCAAGAGACACGAGAAUGCAAAAAUCUCUUUCGAAAUGUCAAAAUUUUCUUGAGCAGGGAGGUAGGACCUUAAAGCAUUUGCAUUUAAUUUUGCAAUAUAAAUUAUUAGAAAAUAUAAAAAGUUGAUGUUUGGAAUAGUGAAGUUAAAAAAGGGUUAGGUCUCAAAGUAUUAUACUUGGAAGUAUUAACAUAUAUAAAAAUCCCAAGAUUAUUAGUAAGUGAAUGGAGUCUCCAACACUGUAAUUGAAAGGGACACAGUUCCAGGUGACACUCUCACAUACCAACCUCGGUUCUACUUUUUUUUUUCUCUUUACUCUUUCAAGUUUUCCAUCUAAAUAAAGUAUACUUGAAAAGGAAGUAAGAGAAUGAUGAGUGAGUAUUUGAUAUAUCUUAAAAUAUUUAAUCCAUCAUAUACCCAUACCAUAUAACUUUCUCUCUCUGACUUUUAAUUAUUUAAUUUUCCUUUAAGGCCUACUUCACUUUUUCUCUGUUGCAGCUUUGAGUCUAUAAAUAAAUAAAUAAAUAAAAUUUGUCCUAUUUCUGUUUGAUAAGUAAUAUAUUAAUUUGCCAAUUUAGUGCUGGAUCACUCACUGUCUCCAACUUUAUGGCCGAUUAGAGUGUGAAUACGCUAUGAUUAAACCUUAGAUCCCAAGGCUUCAACAAACCAAAGCUCUCUGAUAUUUUGAAGUCAUAGCAACCACGCUAUUAUACUUGGAAGUAUUAACAUAUAUAAAAAUCACUUCACGAUAAGACAGUUGAGUGGUUUACACAUUUUCUAUUGGAAUGUCUCAUAGAGAUGCCAAUCAGGGUUGGGACAAACACUUCAACUAUUAUGACUAAACAUGGUCACUGCAAUGUCUUGUUUUCAUUUUGUAUUUGUGGAGUUUCAUUGGUCAGUUAUAUGUAGGUACCAGAAGUAAGCUUUUUCUGAGGCUUAUGACAUGCUCGUAUAUUAAAAAGUUGAUGAAGCUAACAAUGCAAUGCCCAUUAAAAACUUAGCCUUUAUUGUGUAUAUUUUGACAUUGCCUGCAUCUGUUGUGGUUUAAUUGUUCAGGUACCAAGGGAAUCAUUGCUUCUUGUUAUUCCUGCUUUUGGUGGUAAAGUUUCAUGGGAGGGAGAGGGGGCUCCUUUUGGGGAAUCAGACCAGAGCAUUACUCACCAGGUUUGUGAUUUAGGUGACAUAACUUUUUUGAACUUUGUUUUAGGUUCACUUAGCUAAUUCUUUCAUUUCUUUAGAUCGUUGAUCGGGAAUCACAAGGACAUAGGUUCCUCUCAAGAGAAUAUGUUCAACCACAGUGGGUAUUUGAUUGUGUGAAUGCACGCAUAAUUUUGCCAACAGAAAGUUAUAUGGUUGGAAGGUAACUUCUAAUUCAUCUGCGCUAUAGUAUACUGACUUCUCACCUCUGUUGUACAGUUUAUAACCCCAUUUGGCGUUGAUUGUGGUGGUUUACAAUUCCUUUAUUUUACAAUGUAGACAUUGUUAAUAUAUUGCUUCUCACCUAAAUUAGUACGUGGGCCUCUGUUCUUUGGUAAUUGAUGUUGUAUUAUCUGUGAUUAUUUUUUAGGUUCAUUUUAUUUGUGAUUAUUUGGUCGGCAUGUGCUAAUUUUGGUCUGAGGAAAAUAAUUUGUUCUACAAGGGAUCAUGAUAUCUUAAUUUUUUGAAAAAUGGAUAAUAUUUUGCUAAUUAAAAAUAUAAUAUUUUAAAUUUCGAAAAAAAUCCACAUGUAUAAUAAUACACAUAUACUGACAGUACAAAGUCCCAUAGGCUGUGGAAUAAAUCUUACCGGUCAUGCAGAUUUUAGUGUCAAUCUCUUUAAAAUAUAUAUACCCAACCUCAUAUAGUAAGUUGUGUCACAUUGGAUGUAUUAUUAUUAUUGUUGAUGUUGUUGUAAAUUAUGAUACAACAUCAAAUCUACACGACUUGUGUAUAAAAUCAAUUAUUUAGGGUUGGUUUACUUUGUGAAAACAUUGUGUUUUCAUUUUCUGAAAUGUGCUCAUUUUACCGUGAUAAGAGACUCUUGAAGUGAACGAAUGUCAUAGAGAAUGUGAAAUGCUAGUUAAUGAAGAUGCAUUUAUGGAAAUAAUGAAAAUAAUUGACAUGUUCAUUUUUUUCUAUAAACGUAGACAAUUGUUAACUUCAGUAAUUGUUAACUUCAGUAAUCUGUUACUGUCUUAUUAACAAGUAAAAUAAAUACAAAUUUUAAGAAAUGAAAAUAGGAAAGGCUUUCCCAAAUUAAACAGGCCCUUAGUUGUCGUUGCCAAUGUCAAGUCAUCAUCAAUCAUUCAUUAACUUGAGAGUCAAGAUCAGAAAAAAUCUUACAUAUAUUUGUUUGUAUUUCCGCGAGAGUACAUUUUUAUUAUAUUCAAAGAAAAGUGUCUAUAUUAAAGAAAAAGCCUAUCAUAUCCGACUUUAACGAAAUUUUUCUUGUUAAAAUGCUUCUUUUAUUAACAGAAUUCCUCCACCGCACUUGUCCCCGUUCGUUAACUAUGACGAAGAAGGGGCAUAUGUUCCGGAGUAUGCAAAGACCAUUAAACACUUGCAAGCUGCUGCCAGAAAGGAAGUCCUUCCACUUCCAGGUGUUGAAAAAGAUCUCGAAGAUCCUCAAAAUCUUCUGGCUGACGGUAUCAUUGAUCGAGCAGAGGCUAACGAAGCGGCUAAGAGAAAGCAGAAGGUAUGCAUACUGAGACACGAACAGUGCAUAUUGAUUGGAGGCUAUCAUUCUAUGUUUUACUUUGUUGAUAAUAAUAUGUAAGUAAUUCCAUUUCAAUUGUUGUCUUGCAGAUGAUGAUUCUAGAGAAGCAAUACCAUGAGGAUUUGAUGAAAGAACUUCAGGGUGCUACAUAUACUUCAGCAGGUUCUACUGCUGAAAAAGAAACAUCUACUGGAUUGAUUCAGACAGCUGAAUCAACGAACAAUGGUCAAGAAAAUGUUGAUGAUUUGACUAAACUUAUGAUGUCUCGUAAAAAGAGGAAGCUAUUAGAAGCCAUGCAGGUACACCUAUUUGUAUCCUCUUUAUACAGAUUUGAAUUUCUUAUCCAUAUUAGUUCUAUUGUUUGUGUACUUCUUUUACUUUUCAAAUUAUCUAUCUGAACUUGCCAUUUGACCAUUACUAUUCUAUUUAAUCCAUAUUCCUAUUUAACCGGUGGGAAAGUGGCAGGUUGUCUUGUAGUUACAAUAAUGUUGCCUUUUUUUAAUUUGUUUUGAUGUUCAUAACUUUUGUUGUUGAAAUGUGUCACUCAGAUAUCGAAUGAGCGCAAGCAAGCUAAAAAUGAUCUUAUCAAACACCGGAAAAAGAAAAUCGACGAAGCUCAGAAUCAAAGGAGUUGAAAGGAAUCUACGUUCUCAAAGGGUUUCAGCUAUAUGCCAUUUCAUUUUGCUAUAUAGGUGCUAGCUGAUUUAUAAGGCUAGUUUUCUUUUGUUGUUUUCCAGUAUAACUUAUUUUAUUUAGUAUCUCUUCUUUCUGUUUUGUAACAUGUUUUGGAAGGGCCAAAGAACAUUUUGAUUUUUUUUAUCUACUAGUUAUACCUUGAUCUACUAGGGUGUGUAAGAAACUGAGUAAAUCCAGUGAACAAUGCUAACUAGUUUGGUUUGGAAUGCAGACGAAAGGCUUUUAUAUCUAAGGAUGUUAAAUGCAGACGAAAGGCUUUUAUAUCUAGCACUUGCGUAAUCAGGUGAUUUUAAAAUUAGAGCAUAAAUGGUACACUACGGAACUAACAAACAGUGCAAAAUUUCAAAAAGUAUGUCCGUGAUUUGGAAUGCUUUAUAUACUUUGUUCAUGUCAGUGCAAAUGAUUGAAUACAUGUGUCAUUUAAAAUUACAAUGGCAACCCCUAAAUACUUCAGUUAAAAAGUAGACAUAAUCAAUAAUACGAGAGGAAAACUUACUAUCAAUUGAGAACAAACACAAGCUUUGAACAUUCCUUAAGAUGUUUUAGAGAUGAAAAUUUACAGACAGAAGGUUCACUGGUUCACAUGAGCAGAGAUGAAUCAACUAAAUGAUAUAAGCUAAUCUCUAACUGAUUUAAAAAGGCCUAUAGUCAAGUAAUUUUCAUCUAUAUUUUCCUAUUUUUGGCACCUCUAACUUUAAUCUGGGAUAUCUAUUAAAAUAUUGAUCAAUAGGUAGUGCUACUAAACAAUAUCAACUUGUUUCAAUUGGAUAUGAUCUUGAUUUCUAAGUCACUCUCCAUUCCGAAAUUUCCCAACAGCUGCAUCCUCAACCAAUUAUGAUGAUUUCAAAUACAUAAAUAAGUAAUCAACUAGUUCACAACAUGAAUUUCAAUGUGUGUACCUCAUUUGUUCAGCUAUCAUAAUUUCAAUCUCUGCCAAUUGAGGAUUAUCCGUGUCAUUCAUGAAAAUAUUAACAUCACCAACCAUAGCUGCAAAUAGCAUAUAUAUAUAUAUAUAUAUAUAUAUAAGUCUCCAAUGUUAAUAAAUUGAACAAUAAUGAAUUAAAGGUCACCAUGAAUUAAAAGUCUCUAGAGUUGAUAAAUUAUGUGAUCAUGCAAUGGCCAUCCGCUCAUUUUCUAUGAACUUUCAUAUAAGUGAUUAUAUUGUUGAGAAUCAUUGAAACGAGUCUAUGAUCAACCAGGUCCUUCUUAAUAACAUUUGUAUCAUAAUUGCAAGUCUUAAGCCUCCUUUUGCAGGAUGAUUUCCCUAUAUGGAAGUUUUUUAAUGAAAAUUUAUUCACUAUUAAUUUUUGUCAAGAGAGCAUCAUACUCCUUUUGAGUCCCCUAAUUUUAAUCUGGUGUGGAAAUGAAUUGGACCUCCCAGAUUUCAUACAUUUCUUUUAAAAGUUUUCACACAAACAACUUCUAACUAAUGCCAAAAGAAACCAUUGGGGUAUAUCUGAUAAUAUGGUUUGCAUCAGAUGCUCCCAAGUUUCGGAAACUAUUAUGCACGUUCUUAGAGAUUUUAAUGUGGCACAUAGUCUUUGGAAAAACUUUAUUACUAUGGAGAGUGAGCAAUCAAGUUCCUUUUUUAGACUCACGCUUCCUCAAUGAAUUGGCUUUAAUCUUACGGUAGUUGAUGUUAGUUUGAUCAGAGGCCAUUGGCCUCUGGUGUUUGGAAUCAUGGUAAAUUGUGGAUGGAUAGGAACCAAGUAGUUUUAUCAAGAACACCACUUAAUGCUAAAAAAAUUUGUAAUCUUUUUAUAGAAAACCUUUCUCCAUUCAUCAACAUCUUUACCUUUGUCCUCCUUCCUUUUUUAGAGGAUCGUAAGAGAGAGAUUAAUGUUAAAUGGUAUCCUCCAAAAUUCUUUUAAGCUCAACAUUGAUGGUUCUUAUCACAACACAACAGGUCUCAUUGCUUGUGGAUGGAUUAUUAGAGAUCAUAAAUGAGUUUAUAUUCACGGUUUUUUUUGCAAUCUCGGUUGAGCUACAUUUGUGUUAGCUAAACUGUGGGGCUUGUUUCAUGGUCUUAUAAUGACAUGUAGUUCGGUUUUGACUACAAUUUUGGUGAAAUGAACUCUCAUAUGGUAGUCAACAUGAUUUGGUCGAGGGAAAUGGGUAAUCUCUAUCUUACGCCGCUUCGUCAAGAAGUAAUCUCUAUUGUACACGAGGAACGGAAUUGGGUGGUUAAUCAUGUCUAUCUUGAGACUAAUCAAUGUGCAGAUAAGCUAGCUAACCUUAAUCUCAUUUGAGAUUUUAAUUUUAUUGACCCAUGUACUCCUUUUCCUAGUGUAUUACUUCUUAUUGAUGAUGAUUAUAGAGGGAUGUAUUUAUCUCGUUUCUUUCUCGUAAGUUUUCUUUGUAAUUUUCCCUUUUAUCAUGGAGAAAAAGGAAUGUUACUCAACUAAUAAGAUCUUAUCAAAACACAACAGGUCUCAUUGCUUCAUGAUGGCUUAUUAGAGAUCAUAAAGGAGUUUAUAUUUGUGAUUUCUUUUGCAAUCUUGGUCGAGCUACAUAUGUGUUAGCUGAACUUUGGGGCCUGUUUCAUGGUCUUAUAAUGACAUGUAGUUUGAUUUUGACUACUAUUUUGGUGGAAAUGAACUCUCAUAUUGUAGUCACCAUGAUUCAGUCAAGGAAAAUGAAUAAUAUAUAUUUUAUGCCGCUUCAUCAAGAAGUCAUCUCCAUUGUAAACCAGGAAUGGAUUUGUGUGGUUAAUCAUGUCUAUCUUGAGACUAAUCGAUGUUAAUAAGCUAGCUAAUCUUAAUCUCAGUUGAGAUUUUAAUAUUAUUAACCCACUUACUCCUCUUUAUAGUGUGUUACUUCUUAUUGAUGAUGAUUAUAGAUGUAUGUAUUUCUCUCGUUUCUUUCUCGUAAGUUUUCUUUGUAAUUUUCCCUUUUAUCAUGGGAAAAAAAAAAAGGAAUGCUACUCAAAGAAUAAGAUAUGGAGUUUCAAAUUCGAUUCAAACCCCAAAAUCAAUGUCCUAAAAGUAUAUCCUUGAUAAUUCCGCUUCAGACCCUUUUAUUAACAAAAUCAAUGUCCCUUUUAACAAUUUUGGAGCUUUUAUAGUACAUUCAUUAAUCGAAGAGUUUUGGUACAUUUUUUCUCUAAAUCAAUAAAUUAAGGAUAAUUUUAAUGAAUCAAAUAGUUAUUUAUUGACUUUUGUAUUUUAUAAAAGAUCAUUUCAUAUGAAAAAAAAAACGAUUUUGUUGUUUAUAAGUACUAUACUAGUUUUUUCUAUUUUAUUGUAAAAAUAUUCAAUAUUCACAAUUAUGAUUUAUUUGACUUACACUUUUGAUAAAUAAUAUUUAGUUAUUAUAAUUAUAUAAAUAAUAGGAAUUAUUUUUUUCCUAAAAAAUUCAAUUAACUAUUAAUUUAAAUAUCAAAUGUAUUGAUACAUGUCAAAUUAAUUGAUUUACUGAAGAAAUGCUCUUUCAAAAUAGUUCCGUCGCUAAAUUAAUCCACUUACAAUAAAAAUAUAGAUGAGUACAAGAGAAGAUUUCAAUAAUUAAUCCUAAGCUAAAUUAGACUUUUAGUCCCUCAACUUAGAUUUUGGUUUCAAUUUAAUCUCCUAAUCAUUUUCAUUUUGUUUUAGUCUCUUACAUAUACUUUUGUUAGUCAAGUUGGUCAUAUCUGUUAAUUUUUGAAAUCUUCUCUUGUGCCCAUCUAUAUUUUUGUUCUUCUUCAACCUAAAAGUAGUGGUUUUGUUCCUCUUUUCAACUGUACUCUGCAUAACUUGUGACUAAUUUUGUUCACAGCGAGAACACUAAUAAAUACAUAUGAAGAACAAAAUGGAUGAAUUGAAGUGACAUCAUUCAAAAAAAAAGUCAAGUUAAAUUCUCCAAAAAGAUCUAGAAAAUGUCUAUUUAUUAGCAUGACAUUAUCAUCAUUUUGCAAUUUGAUGGUACACACAAACCAUUUAAACAUACGGAUUGUGUGGCAUCAAAGUAGUAUCAAAAGAUUACAAUGAUAGUAAGUAAUAGUAUCACAAGAUUCGUUAGAAGAAUACCAUCUUCCACUACAUUUGAUUUGUUAAAUUGUCCAAUUACCAAAGAUCUUUAACCAUUUUCAAAUGUUGAAAUAAGGGUUCCUACAACAAGGAGAUGAAAACUUAAAACUCAAACAUGGAUACAACCGAGACAUAUAUCGCAAAUCCUAAUAAAUAAAACACGAAUAUUUGCUAUAAUAUCACUUGUUGGAGAUUCCAAUGGUGAUAGUUACUCCGCAUACCAAAAACCUUAAGGCAUAUCUCCACCCACCUAAAUCCCAAUAAAGUUGAUGUUGCAAUCACUUCCAACUUCAAAGACAUUCUUGAUGUGGAAGAUUUUACCACAUCCUUGGUCAUGUGAGAAGAUUGAAAGCAAAUAAAUAAAGUGUGCAUCAGAUGCUUUUUAUGUUGUACGAACCAUGUGCUAACACAUGCAUACUCAAUUUUAAAAUAUAUCUACAGUUUUACGAUCACUUGAUUUUCUAGGCAAUUCAACUUCAAAAUUUAUGCUAAAUGAUAUGGUUUAAAGGUGUGCUAUAACAAAUUCAAUAACAAAACUUGUAGAAACAAUGAUAUAACCAUCCAUCAUCCAUCAGUUACAUGACUAAAGUAAAUUUAACUAUUGAAUAAAGACCUCUUAUACUUUUUCUUUGUUUAGCUAUUAGUUUGUUCUCUCAUCCAUCAUCCAACACUAUUUUUGCAACACCUCAUAAGUGGUCCCUGAAAUCUAAAUGGGAACAACAAAAAUGUUGUACUGCAUAUAAAAAACCAAAACAAAUGCUAAAAGGUGUGGAAUAAUUUGAUAAAAUGUCCUAUUAAACAAGUAUUUAUUUCACAAAAGUUUUUGGAUAGAAUAAUUUGUCCAAAGAACAAAGGUGUGGAAUCAGAAACAUGACGUGUGAAAGGAGUAAAGAACAUUGAAACUAUAUCAAUAGAAUACCAUAUAUUGAAUAUGAGGUAUAGAUGUUUAUUUAUUAGCAACAGUAGUACAGAAGCUAACUUGCAAAAGUUAUGAUGUACAAUGAGUUUUUGUUUAAGCCAUAUGUGUUUUAACUUGAAGAAAAUGUUUCCUAAUAAAGGACUUUGUAGCUCCUUUAACACAUGCUAAAAUGUCCUAUUAAACAAGUAUUUAUUUCACAAAAGUUUUUUGAUAGAAUAAUUUGUCCAAAGAAGAAAAGGUGUGGAAUCAGAAACAUGACGUGUGAAAGGAGUAAAGAACAUUGAAACUAUAUCAAUAGAAUACCAUAUAUUGAAUAUGAGUUAUAUAUGUUUAUUUAUUAGCAACAGUAGUGCAUAAGCUAAGUUGCACAAGUUAUGAUGUACAAUGAGUUUUUGUUUAAGCCAUAUGUGUUUUAAUUUGAAGGAAAUGCUUCCUAAUAAAGGACACUCCAACUCCUUUAACAUAAGCUAAAAUGUCCUAUUAAACAAGUAUUUAUUUCACAAAAGUUUUUUGCUAGAAUAAUUUGUCCAAAGAACAAAAGGUGUGGAAUCAGAAACUGAAAGGAGUAAAGAACAUUGAAACCAUAUCAAUAGAAUACUAUAUAUUGAUACGAGGAAUAUAUGUUUAUUUAUUAGCAAGAGUCGCAUAGAACCUAUCUUGCACACAUUAUAAAAAGUAAUUACAGCUUGAAAAACAUGAAAUCAAAUAAUGUUGAGCAACAACAGAAUGAAGCAACUGAAGAAGGUAACAUAGAUCUCCUCUACAAAAUAAUUAAAGAUGAUCAAUCAAUUUUGGAGAGUAUCGAUUCGAAACAAUUUGUGGAAACUCCUUUACAUAUCGCUGCAGCUAUGGGUCGUAUCCAGUUCGCCAAUGAAAUUAUGAGGUUGAAACCUUCAUUUGCUCGUAAGCUAAAUGAACAAGGAUUCAGCCCUAUCCACCUUGCUAUGCUAAACAGCCGAAAGUGGAUGGUGUUUAAUUUUGUUGACAUGAAGAAGCAACUUGUUACAGAUCAAGGAAGAGAAGGCUUAACUCCUCUUCAUUUAGCAAGUGAAAUUGGUGAUAUUGAAUUUUUAGCUAAGUUUAUUUAUGCUUGUCCAGAAUCAAUUGAAUGCUUGACUGCGAGGAAUGAGACUGCACUACAUAUUGCUAUUAAGAAUCAACAGUUUGAGGCUCUUCAAUUUCUUGUUGGCUGGCUCGUAAGAAAUGAGGAGAGAGGUGUUACAGAGUUGGAAAAUAAAAUACUUAACCAAAAGGAUGUGGAUGGAAACACUAUUUUGCACAUUUCAGCUCAAAGUAGUGAUCCACGGGUAACUUUCGUUUGUAUAUUUAUUUUGUUCUCCCCUCAAAUUAAAAACUAUAUGUAAAUGAUUCUCAUAUUUCUUAUUAUUUUACUUUGUAGCACAGACAGUUCGAUUGUUGGUAAAAGACUGGGAUAAAUUUGAAGGCAAAGAACUUAGACAACAAAACAACAUUAGACAUGGCAACCAAUGAAGGUGCAAAAAGUGGCUCACAAGUCAUUGACAUACGUUCACAAGAACUAAUAAUACCAAUGACGACACUAUAUGAUAAAAUGUUAAUUUUAUUACGUCGCCUUAGUAACGAUAUAUCAAAUAAUCAACGCGAAACUUUGCUGAUAGUUGUGACACUUGUUGCGACUGCCACUUAUGAAUCAGCAAUGAGUCCCCCUGGUGGAAUUUAUCAGGCUGAUGCUGGUGACAAUAAUGUGAAAAUCAGUUCCUCCAAUUCUACUAUUUCUAACCCAGGAAAUGUUGGGAAAUCGAUUUUGUCAAGACAUGAUUUCUUAGUGUUUUCAUUGAUGAAUAUGUUUUCUUUUUACGAAUCAAUUACAGUAAUAUUGUUUUUGAUGCCAGGUGGGAUAGUUGGCGCUCUACUGUUAGAUACAGUUAUUUUCUUUGUCGUGAGUUAUAUAAUUUUUCUGGUGAAAAUAUCCCCUACACAUUUCAAUGAGAUGAUCAUCCUGUAUGGUUUCAUCAUCAUCAUGUCUGCCGUAUUAUUUAUGUUCUACCAGAAACUUAAGAAAACACCAAUCAAGGGGGCAACACAGAUCAUACCACUGUCGUGCCGGCUGAAUUCACCAACAACAAUAUCUCCGUACAAUAAUUUCUAUUUUUCGUUCUUAACCUUUUUCUUGUUCAAUCUUACCAAAUUGUUAAUUACUAUAUCAUAUAUUGUAUUCUAUUCCAUCUAUGUGUAUUUAUUAUUAUUAUUAUUUAAAAUGAGAUUACUCAACAUGAUAUAUGUGUGAAUAGUCUUUUGAAUAACUUCUUUUUUUUUUAAGUGUAAUGGGAAAAGCCCCUAGCCUUUAGGGCCUAUUUGAAUGAAUUUAUGUUUUUAAUUUUUCAACAAUCUUUUACAAUUUAAUUUUAAAAACUCUUUAUAAGGAAAAAAAAAAAAACAAUCAAUGUUGUUUGGUAAUUCUAUUUUCAAACACCAUCUCCACCACCACGACCUACCGCUCCGGAAUUUUCUUCAUAAAAAAAAACUUUGUUCACCAUCGUGUCGUGUUCGUUGCUCUCUUAUAAUAAUCCUCCAUCAAAACGGAGAUCAAUGAGAAUCAUGGUUGGAGUUGGUAGCUCCAAGCAAUCCCAUAUUGUGGACACAACCAUUGAUACCAUCUCUGAUGACGAUUCUGGUUCAAAAUCACCACAAAAAUCCUUGAAACCAACCACUUCACCAUCAAAAUCAAUAUAAUGUCUUUUUCCGCCUUAAAAAAUACCACCUAAAAAGAGAAAAUGAGAUUUAACUAAAAAGCUUCGCUAUAAGAUUUUUUAUUAAAAUUGAGACACAUUAUCUUAUCUCAACCUUUAUUUGAAUAUUUUUUAUUUAUGAUAUUUAAUUAUUUACCAUAACUCAUUCAGCUAUCGUCCAAUGUUUUGUCUAUCAUGUCAUAAUUUUGAAAACAUGUAAUGUCAAUGAUUCUAAGAAGUACUCCCUCGAGUGACUAUUUUAGUUUUAAGUAAAAAAAAUUCUCUUGUUGUAUUAAAAAUAUAGUUAAAUGGCAAUUAAUUUUAUAUAUUUUACAUAAAAUAUAAGUUAAAUUUAUUAAAUUGUCAUUUUUAAUGUACAAUAUUCGACUAUUAAUAUUAAAUAUUUUGAUGUAAAUGGUGGAUUAAAAAUAGACAUGGCAACAGGCGGGACGGGGGCGAAAUAUAAAGUAUAUUUAAUAUGUCCAUGUGUAUAAAAUUUAAAAAUGAGAAUAAUAUUAUUAGCGGGACAUAUUCGAGUCCGAAUUCGGGGUGAAUGUCAACACACUCGCACUCGAUUAAAGCGAUUUUUCUCCGUCCAAAUUAAAACGAUUUCAAAUGGAUAUACGCGGAGGCGGAUUAUGUUGUCAUCUCUAAUUAAAAUAAUAAUAUUAAAUUAAUCAAAACUAUCUUAUAUUUAGGAUGCAAUGUUUUAAAUUUUUACAGAAUUAAAACAUAGAUAUAAAAACAUAUGUUAAAUUUCUUAGGUAAGUUUUGUCAUGUUAAUUGGUAGAGAUUAAUUGGAGAAAAUGUAUAUAUUUAACUAAAGCAAAUCUCGUUAGUGUAAAAUAGAAAAACAAAUACAAAUUAUUUUGUAAAUGUUUAAUGAAACCUAAUAUAUUUCCUAUUUUAAAUUGGACCACCAUCUCUAACCUUAAAUUUUAUAAAUAAAUAAAUAAAACAAAAUAAUUAAUUAAAGAAGGAUUUAUGUAAUGUAUAUUUGAAUAAUGAAGUUAUUUAAAAAAUGAAGGUGACCCACUAGGUUUUGGAUUUGGGCUUUGGGCCAAAAUAUUAGCGUCCAUUCCACGCAGAAUCUUAACUCCUAAUAACCCUAGUUUCUAGUUUACUUAUCUUGUUUUGAUUUUGAAAGAAUAAAAACCUACCAAUCACUCUCUAACCUCUCUCAUCUUUGCUCUUCGCCGUCACCGCAACCACCGUUCCCUCAAAUCAAAAUACCAUGUCGGACGAAGAGCACCAUUUCGAAUCCAAGGCCGACGCCGGAGCCUCCAAAACCUACCCUCAACAAGCCGGUACCAUCCGUAAAAACGGUUACAUCGUCAUCAAAAACCGUCCUUGCAAGGUCCGUAUCCACAUUCUAAUUCCUUUUUUAAUUAGGUUUUUACUAAAUUAAUCAUUGAUUUGAUUUCAUGUAUUUGAUUAGAUCCAGUUUUUCUGCUUCACUGUUUUGG
RNAcentral lists this long non-coding RNA (15804 nucleotides) under Cicer arietinum (chickpea). RNAcentral's name for it is "long non-coding RNA (CARI_LNC002221)". Lineage: Eukaryota; Viridiplantae; Streptophyta; Magnoliopsida; Fabales; Fabaceae. The record is from RNAcentral.